This 497-nucleotide ribosomal RNA is filed under the name uncultured bacterium. RNAcentral's name for it is "partial 16S ribosomal RNA". It matches the Rfam family "Bacterial small subunit ribosomal RNA", at positions 28 to 507 of the family's 1533-position model. The record is from RNAcentral.
GAUGAACGCUGGCGGCGUGCCUAAUACAUGCAAGUCGAGCGAACAGACGAGGAGCUUGCUCCUCUGACGUUAGCGGCGGACGGGUGAGUAACACGUGGAUAACCUACCUAUAAGACUGGGAUAACUUCGGGAAACCGGAGCUAAUACCGGAUAAUAUAUUGAACCGCAUGGUUCAAUAGUGAAAGACGGUUUUGCUGUCACUUAUAGAUGGAUCCGCGCCGCAUUAGCUAGUUGGUAAGGUAACGGCUUACCAAGGCGACGAUGCGUAGCCGACCUGAGAGGGUGAUCGGCCUCACUGGAACUGAGACACGGUCCAGACUCCUACGGGAGGCAGCAGUAGGGAAUCUUCCGCAAUGGGCGAAAGCCUGACGGAGCAACGCCGCGUGAGUGAUGAAGGUCUUCGGAUCGUAAAACUCUGUUAUUAGGGAAGAACAAAUGUGUAAGUAACUAUGCACGUCUUGACGGUACCUAAUCAGAAAGCCACGGCUAACUACGUG